GUGUCAGCAGCCGCGGUAAUACGAAGGGGGCUAGCGUUGCUCGGAAUUACUGGGCGUAAAGGGCGCGUAGGCGGCGGUAGUAGUCAGGCGUGAAAUUCCUGGGCUUAACCUGGGGGCUGCGCUUGAUACGCUAUUGCUAGAGGACGGAAGAGGGUCGUGGAAUUCCCAGUGUAGAGGUGAAAUUCGUAGAUAUUGGGAAGAACACCGGUGGCGAAGGCGGCGACCUGGUCCGUUACUGACGCUGAGGCGCGACAGCGUGGGGAGCAAACAGGAUUAGAAACCCUAGUAGUCC
RNAcentral lists this ribosomal RNA (292 nucleotides) under uncultured bacterium. RNAcentral's name for it is "partial 16S ribosomal RNA". It matches the Rfam family "Bacterial small subunit ribosomal RNA", at positions 505 to 796 of the family's 1533-position model. The record is from RNAcentral.